Long non-coding RNA from Carassius gibelio (silver crucian carp), 2720 nucleotides. RefSeq lists it as uncharacterized. Lineage: Eukaryota; Metazoa; Chordata; Actinopteri; Cypriniformes; Cyprinidae. The record is from RefSeq and is a predicted model, not a curated record. The transcript is spliced from 2 exons.
AAGACAGUGACAGUGAUGUCCCACUGGAUGGCGCUGUUCACUCACAAAUCUCUUAUAUUUCAAGUGCAGCUCCACCUAAUGAGUGAUUGAAGCCAGUGCACAAUCACAUCGUCCAUUUUGGAGUAUUAUAUCUGUUCCUUUUUUAUGUCAGUUAUGUUUAAUUACAUUGUAUAUAUUUAGGUGCCUAUAGCUGUAUAAUAUUUUAAAAAUGGGAUUGUUUUUGCUUUCCCUCCAAUAUAUGGUAAUAUUUAGCAAUGCAAUUUCUUUUCCUGAUUAAAAUGGGUUUAUUUAUCCGCCAUGACAGGAAGAAAUGAAUUUCAAGUGGGAAAACCUGUGGAAAGACCAACGUUUCCUUUCUUCGUCAUUUGCCGUGUCAUUUCUCUGUAAGUAUUUUGAGACCCCCGAACCCUUUGGCAGAGCCGCUGACCUUUUCUGCCUUUUAAGUGGCAGAGCUGCACAUUAAUCAUUAAUCAGCUUACACCACACUGGAGUUCACAGUUCUCAGCCAAUUUUCACUACCAAUGAAUCCAUGUGGAUUUUCUGAGAGAUCCGUUAUGUAAUUGUGACCCCUGUGCAUGAGCAAUAGAGACAUAAGGUGGUUUAAAGCCAGAUGGGACCACAGCCUUAAAACUUUGAUCACACUCUCCAGUUGUAAUUUCAAAUCUGUCAAGCAUGUCUGUCCACUCAAUCACACUCCACAGAGGUGGCGUCUGGUGGACCCUGUAGCUGGCUUUUGAUUGGAAACAAAAGAGCAAAGGUGCAUUUGUAGACCUAAUCAUGGGCCUGCAUGAAUUAUAAUAUCUGAUUAUGACAGAACAUGAAGAAAAAAUGUUCCAGUGUUUGUCUACAAUGAUUGAAAACUCCAAAGUUAUCCUCAAAAAGUAAUUACGAAGACCUAAUAUUAAUGCAUUUACAAAUGAAUACGAACUGCUGCUGAACUUGCACAAACUCUCUGUAACACGUGAGCUGUUUAUAUUUUCAUAUACUGGUGUGAGAGAAGUGGGAUGUGUUAGAACAAAACUCCUAAAGUUAGAUUUGGACAGCGGCCCUGCUCUGGAGUGCAGAGUGAAAAUUCAAAUCUAUGCGGAGCUAUUAUUCAGACGGAAGGUGUCUGUACGUGUGGGCCGGGCUGAACGGCUCAAGGGAGGGAAAUUGAAUCUGUGGUCUGGGAGCUCUGCUACUCUUAGUCUGCUGCCUCUGACAGUGAUGGAUUUUGUCCUGAUGGGAGAGUGUCAUACCAUCAUUUCUAAUAUCUCUCUUUCUUUUCACACACAUGCACACACACACACACACACACAGUUACAAACACACUGUUGCUUAAUAUGUGAAAACCUAACUACAACUCGCAUUUAACACGCUUAAGUAUAUAGUUCAGCCAAAAAUGUAAAUUCUCUAAUCAUUGACUCACCCUCUUGUCGUACCAAAUCCAUAUGAUUUUCUGUGAAGCAUAAAAAGAAAAUUUUUGAAGAAUAUCCUGCUGCUCUUUACCCUAUGGGGACUGGUAAACACUAAAAUAACAAAAAAGAACAAUUAAUGUGGUCCAGUAGACUCAUGAAAUAUAUUUCAAUUCAAGUUUAUUUGUAUAGCACUUCUCACGAUACAAAUCAUUGCAAAGCAACUUUACAGAAAAUUACAUUUCUACAAUAUUAAGUAGUAGCUCAUCAGUGGUGACUGUCAGUUAAUGUUCAUGUGGCAGAAAUGUAUGGAUAAAAUCAAUUAAAGAGUAAGACGUAAUCAAAAAGACGAUGAACACUAUUUACAGGCAUUAUUAUAUGAUGCAAUCAAACUUAUAGCAAAAUUUGGUAGUUCUUUGUUGUUUCAGGGUUGGCAUCAUCUCUUCUAAGGUGUUGUGGAUCCAGACUGAAGCUUGUGUAAAUCCUAGUGCAAAAACAGCUAAACAAAUAGAGAUAUAAAUAGCGUAGCUGCUGUUCCAACCAAGCAAAAUGUAUUUGCUUAACCAAAGCUAAAGAUCAAUAAUGAGCAUUUGAUCUUUGAUAUAACUGCAGUCCAGGAUUCUGAGAAGCAUUUUUUGAAUGCUUGGCCAAAGAGAUGUGUCUGAACGCCGAACAUUAUCAGGAAGGCUACUCCAGAGUUUGGGAGCCAAAUGUGAAAAAGCUGUACCUCCUUUAGUGGACUUUGCUUUCCUAGGUACUACUAAAAGUACAGAGUUUUGUGACCUCAGGGAGCAGGAUGUAUUGUAGUGUGAUAGAAAACUAGUUAGGUAUGCAGGAACUAAACCAUUAAGGGCCUUAUAGGUUCCUUGUGACAGAUGCCCGAGGAGCCAUUGAGGAAACGGGAGCUGACUUCAUUGUGAGCUGAUGAAAGAGACAGACCUUGGCCUCCCAGAAGGAGUGAUUCUAUGAGGCGACUUGAAGAGGGAUAGUACCAUACAGGUGUGACAGCCCGUCAGAAACACAACGCGUGCGUUUACACACACAAAUACACAAAUGAGGGACAAAACUCGCAAAGGACAGAGCUGCACUGGGCACCUGUGCCACUUUGAUACCGCUGCCCGGGAAAAGUGUGGGAGAUGUUUGGAACAUCUUAAUGGUUCCUCAAAACAUGGUUGUGUUUUGAUACGAUGCUACUGAGCUGUAGUGCUGGUGCUUUCUCUGUAGACUCAAAGUAAACGUGCUACUCUGAACUUUAGGAGCAUCUUUUGAGUUUUUAUAUCCUGAUGGCCCUUAUAAUAAAGUACUGUGGUGGUAUUGUGGUCCAGA